GUGCUCUCUUUGGCAGCACAUACGCUAAAGUUGGAACAAUACAGAGAAGAUUAGCAUGGCCCCUGCACAAGGAUAACACAAAUUCAUGAAGCAUUUCAUAUUUUU
Nycticebus coucang (slow loris) is the source of this 105-nucleotide small nuclear RNA. The record is from RefSeq and is a predicted model, not a curated record. NCBI's taxonomy places the organism in Eukaryota, Metazoa, Chordata, Mammalia, Primates, Lorisidae.